CGCGUUUUUCGCCCAGGCGGAGCUCGACCGCCGGGUGAAGUGAUGUAUGCGAUGGUGGAAGCGCACCGGAGCAGGUUCGGUGUCGAGCCGAUCUGCGAGGUGCUGCAGAUUGCCCCG
Xanthomonas fragariae is the source of this 117-nucleotide non-coding RNA. The record is from Rfam. Lineage: Bacteria; Pseudomonadati; Pseudomonadota; Gammaproteobacteria; Lysobacterales; Lysobacteraceae.